This 999-nucleotide ribosomal RNA is filed under the name uncultured bacterium. RNAcentral's name for it is "bacterial SSU rRNA". It matches the Rfam family "Bacterial small subunit ribosomal RNA", at positions 71 to 1039 of the family's 1533-position model. The record is from RNAcentral.
AUUCUUCGGAAAAGAAGAGGGUUAUGAGAGCGGCGAACGGGUGAGUAAUGUAUGGGUAAUUUGCCUUGAAGUUCGGGAUAGCCAUUCGAAAGGGUGGGUAAUACCGGAUGUGUUCGGGUGCCGCAUGGCACCUUAUAUAAAGAUGGGGAUCUUCGGACCUGUCGCUUCAAGAUAAGCCCAUAUCCUAUCAGCUAGUUGGUAAGGUAACUGCUUACCAAGGCUUACGGGUAGCCGACCUGAGAGGGUGACCGGCCACACUGGGACUGAGACACUGCCCAGACUCCUACGGGAGGCUGCAGUCGAGAAUCAUUGUCAAUGUACGAAAGUAUGAACAUGCGACGCCGCGUGGAGGACGAAGGCCUUCGGGUUGUAAACUCCUGUCAUGAGGGAGUAAGUGCAGGCGGGUGAAUACCCCGUUUGCUUGAUAGUACCUCAAGAGGAAGUCACAGCUAACUCUGUGCCAGCAGCCGCGGUAAUACAGAGGUGGCGAGUGUUGUUCGGAUUUACUGGGCGUAAAGGGUCCGCAGGCGGCCCUGUGUGUCAGAUGUGAAAUGCCACGGCUUAACCGUGGAAUGGCAUUUGAAACUACAGGGCUCGAGUACAGGAGAGGAGAGGGGAAUUCAUGGUGUAGCGGUGAAAUGCGUAGAUAUCAUGAAGAACACCGGUGGCGAAAGCGCCUCUCUGGACUGAUACUGACGCUCAUGGACGAAAGCGUGGGGAGCGAACGGGAUUAGAUACCCCGGUAGUCCACGCCCUAAACGAUGCGUGUUCGGUGUGGGGGGCAAUGUUCGAUCAACCCUCCGUGCCUUAGCUAACGCGGUAAACACGCCGCCUGGGAAGUACGGUCGCAAGAUUAAAACUCAAAGGAAUAGACGGGGACCCACACAAGCGGUGGAGCAUGGGGUUUAAUUCGAUACUAAGCGGGGCACCUCACCCAGGCUUGACAUCUUAGGAAUCUCCUGGAAACAGGGGAAUGCCGCAAGGAACCUAAAGACAGGC